Molecule: ribosomal RNA, 440 nt
Filed under: uncultured bacterium
Lineage: Bacteria
Description: partial 16S ribosomal RNA
Rfam family: Bacterial small subunit ribosomal RNA
Source: RNAcentral
CCUACGGGAGGCAGCAGUGGGGAAUAUUGCACAAUGGGGGAAACCCUGAUGCAGCGACGUCGCGUGAGUGAAGAAGUAUCUCGGUACGUAAAGCUCUAUCAGCAGGGAAGAAAAUGACGGUACCUGACUAAGAAGCCCCGGCUAACUACGUGCCAGCAGCCGCGGUAAUACGUAGGGGGCACGCGUUAUCCGGAUUUACUGGGUGUAAAGGGAGCGUAGACGGGAGCACAAGUCUGGAGUGAAAUCCCGGGGCUUAACCCCGGAACUGCUUUGGAAACUGGGGCGCUGGAGUGCAGGAGGGGAAGGCGGAAUUCCUGGUGUAGCGGUGAAAUGCGUAGAUAUUAGGAGGAACACCGGUGGCGAAGGCGGCUUACUGGACUGUAACUGACGUUGAGGCUCGAAAGCGUGGGGAGCAAACAGGAUUAGAUACCCCUGUAGUC